GGAAAACAAGAAGCAUUCACUCUAUCACAACAGCUCUCUGACCACUCUUUCCUUAAAUACCUUCCCAGAUUCCUCUUUGGGGUUUCUGGGUGGGCUGGGGCUCCAGCCAAGGAACCUGGAACCUGCACUCCCUCCCCUCUGUCUAAGUGGCUCCUCCCUUCAUCCUCACUCAAUCCAGACUUACCUGUCAUUAUACAAAACCUUUUGUUUUAGGAAAUUCACACUGAAAUCACUAUUUAGAGUUUGUAUUUCAGGAACAAAGGAGAAAGUCCAGGCCACUGACUGGAAAGGACGUGAUGGGAAUAGGUCUAAGGAAACCUGCCAGUUUUAGAAGGAAAGAGAUCAUUCUCCCAAGGAAUCCAAUUCUUCAUAAGGGUGCUCCAUCAGACUACUCAGCAGGAAACAGGCCAAUUCCCCUGCACUGUCAGGAGGCCAGGCCUACUGGGUGGUCUAAAUUUAAGAAAAAAGAGAAAAACAAAAAUCCUAAGAACUAGAGACAGACAGACAGACAACUCUAAGAAGGGAUCAUAUCAGAAGUGAUACCCAAGACAGGUACUGGCAACUUAGAUUCUAGUCCAGGGAAAAUGGGCAGAAUUGAAAGAUUUCCUGGGGCCAAGUACACCUCAAGUUUCAACUUUAUUAAUAAUUUGAGAUUUCCAUAUAGUAUAUGACUACUGAUAUAAUACUGUUUCCAUCUGAGAAAAACAAACAAAUUGAACUGCUAAAUAAGCAAAGAGGAAAUUCAAAAUAAAAAAAACUGGGCCCCAAGACCUUGAACAGUGUUUACAGAACCAUCCACAAGAGCAUGCUCAGCUCCCAGAGCCCUAACCUCAGAGAGUGUAACUGACUUUUUAUUCUACUCCAGAAAGGCUCCAAGACUGCACCUCUCCCUUUCUGUUUAUUCCCCCCCCCAUUCUCAACAAAGAAGCUCAAAGGUGUUGAAUGCCAGUGAAGGGGGAUGAAUGCAGAUUCUUUUGACAUCAGCUUUUUGUCUCAAGGCAGACCAGGGGGAACAGUGUGGGAUUAGGGUAGGCAACUUUCCCAGAAGCCACUACAAAAAGCAGGCACUCUGCAAGUCACUGUAUGCUAGAUAGUCUAGAAGUCCUGCCAGGGAAGAGGUCAUACAAUCAGACAAGUGCAUUGCUGAUAGUAAGAGAAGGAUGACUCCUAAAAGACUGGCCAGAAGUCCAAGUUCCAAGCCCCAAGCUAGAGAGUCAAGAAGGAAAUGAAAAUGAUGUACAUGGAUUUUUUUCAAACAAACUCUUCCUCCUGGAGGGCCUAAUACAUUCUCUGCUCUUCCCUUCAGCAGUCCUGAAUCCACUGAGAAGUCAAGCUGAAGAAGCAGCUGAGAAAGGAAACCACCUGAACAGAACUGAGCCAUACAAUUCAACAGAACUGAGCCAUACAAUUCCAGAGUGGAUCUUCCCUCUGAAAAUAGUGGGGGGCUUUCUUGAAUCUCUAACCAGGUAAACCUCCACAGGAAGUUCAGACUGGUUUUCUGCUUUCUUUCCUCCUUACCCUUACUACCACCCCUAUGUUACUCUACCUUCACCUUCCUUCCUCUUUACCUCAGCCAAGGUCAUGAGAGGGAGAUACCUUAGUAAAGGGAAGACCAAGUCUCUGGGGCUCAGAUGAUUAAAAGAAGAUUUAAAAUGAUAUAUAGUUUCCAUAUUAUGAAAGCACUAUUAACAUGAAGAAAUUUUUAUGAGAUGAACAGUCCAGAGACACAAACCCCCUAAGUAGAGGAGAGGAAGUAACACCUAACAUUAAGGGCUGUCUUCUCUUUGCAGCACUAAAAGAGCUGAUAUAAGCACAAGAGAAUAGAAACCUGGGCUGCUAUUAAGGAAGCACAUUUCUCUCGAUGAGACACUGAAGUCAGCAAGGCCUAGGGUCUCAGCCCAUCUAUGCACAACUACAGAGCCCAAAUACAUUGGUUCUUCUCUCCAGACAGCAGCCUGCAUGACUCAGACACAGAUUUCAGGAUAAAUUGGGCUUUCUGUCUGUGGUUACAAAAAAAAAAAGGAGACAAAUGUGUUUUAGUCUUAUCAUUGAAAAAGCAAAUACCAGAUACAUCUAGUAUCCCAGAUUUUUAAAAAAGGAUAAUUCUAGUCUAAAACUAAAGAGUUACUAUAGCAAAAAGUGCAAUAUAAAACCUCAAUAUUCAAUAAAGUCAAAUAAAUAAGAGGAAUUAAUUCCUUAGGACACAAUGGAGUAUGUUAAUCUUAAAAGUCUAUCAGACUGACUGAGAUGACUAUCAAUACAGAAAAAUGUUCACAAAUAAUCCUAAGUGAAAAACAGGAUACAGAAUGUAAUACACCAAAUAAAAUACAAAACUAUACCUAGUAUAGAAAGAGUAACAUGAUUUAAUAUUACCAUAAAUUUUAAAAGUUGGAAUACAAUAAUUUUUAAAUGAAUAAAUCAAGUCAGUCUAGCAUUCUCUGGCUGCCUCCAAUUACCAAAGUGUCUGUCAUCAUCUCUAUGCCUCUAGUCAUCUGCAGUCUGCAUUAUUCUUCUCAAGAAGCAAAGCAGCCUCAACUUAAGAUGCUUUGUUAACUGCUUAUUAACCAUUAUAAAUCAAAAGUCGACCAAGUAACACUCAAUCUGUUGGUCAAAUAGAUUUCUCAGAAAAUUUCAACAACUAGAAUAGGUGUUUGAGAAGAUUUAAAUGCCCUAUAAAAGGGCAAAUUAAUUUCUCUGCCUCAUUGAAUUUGUUAUGCCAGAAAUCUAAUUCCAUCUUCCAAUGUAAGUGAUAAAGAAAGGCAAUGUGAACUCUGGACAGCCCACUUGAGUUUGAAACCUAACUCUUACCACUUAUUAGGUAUGUGGAAGUGGGCAAGUUAUGUACUUUUUUAUUUAUUUGCCCUUAAUCUUUUGAUCUGUAAAAUGAGAAAAACAACCCACAUAAAGUUAGUUCGAGAAUUAAAUGACAUUUCUUAGAAAAUGCUUAGAACAGGGUCUAGAAUAUUGUAAAUGCUCAAACAUUAAUUACUGUUAUUUAUCACUAUUUCUUUUAUUUUUAACACAAUAUCUGUUCCCUGUACCCCCAGUCCAGUAAUCUUUUUUCAAAGUAUAAUUAACCAGAAUGAAUGGAAGACUGUACUCUCGAAACAUUAUUAAUCAAUAACAGCAUUAGUUACAUUGAGAAUAUAAAUCAAAACACAGCAUUGUAAUUCUAAGACAAUACACAAAAUUUAACAAGUAUUAACACUUAAUUGUAAUUUGUGCUGAACUGAAUAAAGAUCCACCUUGAUGGCAUAAUAAAACAAAAUUGUUUUUGUACUAUUAAACUAUUUCUUUAAGUUUGAGUAGAGGGAAACAUCUAUAAAUGCUUUGCUCAAAAUACUAUUAGAUCAUAAAUAUUCUCUUCAAAUCCUAAGAUUUGCAACUAUGCACUCAAUGUUACUUUAGAAACAAUAUGCAUAUUUAUGGAAAGUAAAACUUGCC
Molecule: long non-coding RNA, 3444 nt
Filed under: Marmota monax (woodchuck)
Lineage: Eukaryota; Metazoa; Chordata; Mammalia; Rodentia; Sciuridae
Source: RNAcentral